AAAUAGGGAAUAGUUAAAUAAAUUAUAAUCGAGGCUUGCGCAUGGAAAUAUUGUGAUGUUAAAGAAGGGGCAUAAAACGUUGCUAGCUUGGCUGUUAAAAAUGGCAUUUUCGAGAAUGGUGGUUGUUGAUCUUGGAGUUUUUACCCGUUCGAAGAUUAUCGAGGCAGCUGUUUGGUGUCCGUAGAAAUUGACUCUUCUCCUCUAUAUGUCAGUUUUGCUUAUAUUGUUCUACCUUCUUAGACAUUUUCAGACUAUGUUAUUGUAUAGAUGCUCGUGUUCUCAGUGACACCCAGAUUUUGAAAAAGUUUGUAUUCGAGUCGAAGUUGUCCAUAUCAGCUAUUUAUGAGAGUUAUUACUGUUAAACUUACUUCAUAUUAUUUUUGAUAUAAAAUGCUAAGUUUUAGUGUGA
Long non-coding RNA from Nicotiana attenuata, 409 nucleotides. RefSeq lists it as uncharacterized. Lineage: Eukaryota; Viridiplantae; Streptophyta; Magnoliopsida; Solanales; Solanaceae. The transcript has 2 exons. The record is from RefSeq and is a predicted model, not a curated record.